GCCGGGGUGGCGGAAUAGGCAGACGCUGGGGACUUAAAAUCCCCUGGGCUCCGUGCCCGUGCGGGUUCGAUUCCCGCCCCCGGCA
Molecule: transfer RNA, 85 nt
Filed under: Candidatus Latescibacterota bacterium
Lineage: Bacteria; Pseudomonadati; Candidatus Latescibacterota
Description: Candidatus Latescibacteria bacterium tRNA-Leu
Rfam family: tRNA
About the family: Transfer RNA (tRNA) molecules are approximately 80 nucleotides in length.
Source: RNAcentral